This 74-nucleotide transfer RNA is filed under the name Achatinella mustelina. RNAcentral describes it as "tRNA-Tyr". The record is from RNAcentral. Lineage: Eukaryota; Metazoa; Mollusca; Gastropoda; Stylommatophora; Achatinellidae.
AUUUAUAAAACCAAAUUUGGUGCUAGAUUGUAAAUCUUGAAUUUUGAUCAAAAAUUUUUAUUGAUCUAUAAAAA